RNAcentral lists this ribosomal RNA (618 nucleotides) under Streptomycetaceae bacterium Ri3Ps_5226. Its description in RNAcentral is "bacterial SSU rRNA". It matches the Rfam family "Bacterial small subunit ribosomal RNA", at positions 397 to 1024 of the family's 1533-position model. The record is from RNAcentral. Lineage: Bacteria; Bacillati; Actinomycetota; Actinomycetes; Kitasatosporales; Streptomycetaceae.
CCGCGUGAGGGAUGACGGCCUAUCGGGUUGUAAACCUCUUUCAGCAGGGAAGAUGCGAGAGUGACGGUACCUGCAAAAGAAGCGUCGGCUAACUACGUGCCACCAGCCGCGGUAAUACGUAGGGCGCAAGCGUUGUCCGGAAUUAUUGGGCGUAAAGAGCUCGUAGGCGGCUUGUCGCGUCGGAUGUGAAAGCCCGGGGCUUAACCCCGGGUCUGCAUUCGAUACGGGCAGGCUAGAGUUCAGGAGGGGAGAUCGGAAUUCCUGGUGUAGCGGUGAAAUGCGCAGAUCUCAGGAGGAACUCCGGUGGCGAAGGCGGAGCUCUGGGCCGAUACUGACGCUGAGGAGCGAAAGCGUGGGGAGCGAACAGGAUUAGAUACCCUGGUAGUCCACGCCGUAAACGUUGGGAACUAGGUGUGGGCGACAUUCCACGUCGUCCGUGCCGCAGCUAAAGCAUUAAGUUCCCCGCCUGGGGAGUACGGCCGCAAGGCUAAAACUCAGAGGAAUUGACGGGGGCCCGCACAAGCAUCGGAGCAUGUGGCUUAAUUCGACGCAACGCGUAGAACCUUACCAAGGCUUGACAUACACCGGAAACGUCUGGAGACAGGCGCCCCCAUUGUG